This 301-nucleotide ribosomal RNA is filed under the name uncultured bacterium. RNAcentral describes it as "partial 16S ribosomal RNA". It matches the Rfam family "Bacterial small subunit ribosomal RNA", at positions 509 to 807 of the family's 1533-position model. The record is from RNAcentral.
CAGUAGCCGCGGUAAUACGAAGGGGGCUUGCGUUGCUCGGAAUGACUGGGCGUAAAGGGCGCGUAGGCGGCGAUCAAAGUCAGGCGUGAAAUUCCUGGGCUCAACCUGGGGGCUGCGUUUGAUACUUGAUUACUAGAGUGGGGAAGAGGGUCGUGGAAUUCCCAGUGUAGAGGUGAAAUUCGUAGAUAUUGGGAAGAACACCGGUGGCGAAGGCGGCGACCUGGUCCUUGACUGACGCUGAGGCGCGAAAGCGUGGGGAGCAAACAGGAUUAGAUACCCCAGUAGUCCCUGUCUCUUAUAC